UACUCCCAGCUGUCCCAUGCCCUCCCAGCCCCACCUCUUUCUCUGGCCUCAAGGCCAAUCAGGACAAGGAGGUAACACAAGAGCAGGAAACCCGAGUUAGUGCUGGGAGUACCUGGGGUAAUGCCUUCAGGCAUAACACUAAACAACACAACAAAGGGCCACAUCCAUGUCCCCCCAGGAGAAAGCUGAAGAGGAGGGGAGGGUGACAAGCUUAGACUGCAGAGCCUUAGUCCCUAGGCAAAGCUCAAGUCAGCAGUGCCUUGGGAACUGGGGAGCCAAACAAGCUUUGACAAAUUACUUGACCUGGAAGAAGAGGUCCCUUCUUGGUGACUGAUUUUCCCUCUCUAUUGAUGGAUCUAAGGGAAGACAUCAAUAAAAGAUGGCAAUCUUAAAAGAAGAAAAAAAAUGGGAUCAGCAUCUUGGGAUUCCGCUAACCAGCCUUCUCUAGGCUUCAGUUUCUUCAGUUCCGUAAGACAAGUGGUUUGGGGGGAACCUUCUCCAACAUGCCCAUCUCUCAUUGUAGGGAUGCAAGUAAGAGAAAUAACAUCCAACUCUAACAGCCAAGAAUAAGAGGACAGAGCAAGCCGAGAGAGAACAAGGGGGUGAAACUCGUGGAGGGUGGAGUUCUUCCACGUUAUGGCCAUUCCCACCAUGAGCCCAUUGCCCUCACUCAAUGGUAGCGUGCAGACGGCACUUGCUGGCCCAAGACCUAGGUCCAAGGGAGGACUGUGGGAAAUCUCACACAGGAAACCAGCUCCUGCGUCAUGAAGGGUCAUCAGAGGAAAACCCCCACAUAAUGGAAAACCGAGAAAAACUCCUAUACCAAGGAAUCCCCACUCAGCACUGGACAUGAGCUCUGGAGAAAGUUGUCCCUGAGCCACAAAGUCCCCAAGGCCACAGCGGGCCUGAAGGGAAGAGCAUUAUUGUUGUCACAAAUGCUGGGAGAGCACCUGGUUCCCUGGCUCGGCUGCUCCUGCAGACCAGCAGAGGGAGAGGGGACUGGACUAGCAGGAGACUGGCUGGAGGGCUGUGGAAUUUAGGCUGAGGGGAGGCCACUGAAUCUCCCAGGCACCUGCCACCAUGGAAAUCCAUGUUGGGGGAACCAUAAAAGCAGUAGAGGCCAGACGCGGUGGCUCACACCUGUAAUCCCAGCACCUGGGGAGGCUGAGGAGGGUGGAUCGCCUGAGGUCAGGAGUUCGAGACCAGCCUGACCAACAUGGACAAGAUAAGAGGCAAGGCCCUGCAGAAAACAAAGUCAACAAGAACAAGAGCAGAGGGGGGACCAUGAGAAGCGAGUUUGGGGUAAUAGUGACUAAUCUCACUAUGGGGGCUGACACAGAAGAGGGUACCUGCGGAGGCAAAUGGAAGAAAGAGCCCAACAGGUGGAAUCAUAUUAGAGAGUCUUGAACGCCAAGGUGAGGCAAGCUUUUCAUUCGGUAAAAGAGGAAAUGAGGAUAAGCUCCAGAGGGAUGCAAGGGUGAAGUGCACUCACAAAGCACGAAGGCCCUCAUCGGAGGCUGAUGCCAUUCUUUUGGACUUCCCAGACUCCAGAACCAUGAAUCAAAUGAACAAUUGUUUAGAAAUUAACCCAUCUCUGUUACAGCAACACAAAUCAGCCUAAGAUACCAGGUGAAGAAGGCAGAGAAGCAGUGAGGAGGAAAGGAGGAGAACACAGAUUUUCUCCCUCUCCUCAAUGGAUUUGGGAAAUUGUUUUAAGACUGCAUGCUUGGCAAGAGGGUACUCCACAGCUAUGUGCUUGACGCAAGAGUGAGUGAUUCAUCUCACCACAUCUCAAAAGUCUGUGAGUCAGCUAGUUCUUCCCGGGCUCAGACCUUUGUGAGAGUGGGAUUUGAGUUGACUACGUGUGUUGAAGUGAGGGCGUUGAAGAUUGUGUAAUGGUUUUGUUGCUUUUUAACCAGGGUCAGGAUUGACCUUUGGAGUGU
Long non-coding RNA from Symphalangus syndactylus (siamang), 1943 nucleotides. RefSeq lists it as uncharacterized. Lineage: Eukaryota; Metazoa; Chordata; Mammalia; Primates; Hylobatidae. The record is from RefSeq and is a predicted model, not a curated record.